Molecule: ribosomal RNA, 525 nt
Filed under: uncultured Chryseolinea sp.
Lineage: Bacteria; Pseudomonadati; Bacteroidota; Cytophagia; Cytophagales; Fulvivirgaceae
Description: bacterial SSU rRNA
Rfam family: Bacterial small subunit ribosomal RNA
Source: RNAcentral
CCUACGGGAGGCAGCAGUAGGGAAUAUUGGUCAAUGGGUGAGAGCCUGAACCAGCCAUGCCGCGUGCAGGAAGACGGCCUUCUGGGUUGUAAACUGCUUUUGUCAGGGGAUAAAAUUUCCUUGCGAGGAAAAUUGAAGGUACCUGGUGAAUAAGCCACGGCUAACUACGUGCCAGCAGCCGCGGUAAUACGUAGGUGGCAAGCGUUGUCCGGAUUUAUUGGGUUUAAAGGGUGCGUAGGCGGCCUAGUAAGUCAGUGCUGAAAUAUUCCGGCUUAACCGGGAGGGUGGCAUUGAUACUGAUGGGCUAGAGUACAGAUGAGGUAGGCGGAAUUGACGGUGUAGCGGUGAAAUGCUUAGAUAUCGUCAAGAACACCUAUAGCGAAGGCAGCUUACUAGGCUGUAACUGACGCUGAGGCACGAAAGUGUGGGGAUCAAACAGGAUUAGAUACCCUGGUAGUCCACACUGUAAACGUUGAUUACUCGCUGUGUGCGAUAUACAGUACGCGGCCAAGCGAAAGCGAUAAG